GAUGCAACGCGAAAAACCUUACCCACCUUUGACAUGUACGGAAGUCGCUAGAGAUAGCUUCGUGCUCGAAAGAGAGCCGUAACACAGGUGCUGCAUGGCUGUCGUCAGCUCGUGUCGUGAGAUGUUGGGUUAAGUCCCGCAACGAGCGCAACCCUUGUCAUUAGUUGCUACAUUCAGUUGGGCACUCUAAUGAGACUGCCGGUGACAAACCGGAGGAAGGUGGGGAUGACGUCAAGUCCUCAUGGCCCUUAUAGGUGGGGCUACACACGUCAUACAAUGGCUGGUACAGAGGGUUGCCAACCCGCGAGGGGGAGCUAAUCCCAUAAAGCCAGUCGUAGUCCGGAUCGCAGUCUGCAACUCGACUGCGUGAAGUCGGAAUCGCUAGUAAUCGCGGAUCAGAAUGUCGCGGUGAAUACGUUCCCGGGUCUUGUACACACCGCCCGUCACACCAUGGGAGCGGGUUCUGCCAGAAGUAGUUAGCCUAACCGCAAGGAGGGCGAUUACCACGGCAGGGUUCGUGACUGGGGUGAAGUCGUAACAAGGUAACCGU
This 550-nucleotide ribosomal RNA is filed under the name uncultured bacterium. RNAcentral's name for it is "bacterial SSU rRNA". It matches the Rfam family "Bacterial small subunit ribosomal RNA", at positions 953 to 1503 of the family's 1533-position model. The record is from RNAcentral.